GCUAAUCACUUAUAACUGUUUGCAGAGGAAACUGAGACUUUAUAACUACGUCUCAGUCUCAUCUGCAAAGAAGUAAGUGCUUUGC
Molecule: microRNA precursor, 85 nt
Organism: Tupaia belangeri (northern tree shrew)
Lineage: Eukaryota; Metazoa; Chordata; Mammalia; Scandentia; Tupaiidae
Gene: MIR452
Product: microRNA 452
Source: Ensembl